AUUACUUUGACAGAUAAAUUGUAAUAAAUUUAGAAUUUAUAAAUGUAAAUAAUUUACAAGUAAUA
RNAcentral lists this transfer RNA (65 nucleotides) under Ichneutes sp. QL-2013. RNAcentral's name for it is "tRNA-Leu". Lineage: Eukaryota; Metazoa; Arthropoda; Insecta; Hymenoptera; Braconidae. The record is from RNAcentral.